UUUUUUAUUAUAAGUAAAGUAUAGUUACCUUCCAAGUAAAAAGUUCAUUUUUGUUUUUUAUAAGAU
This 66-nucleotide transfer RNA is filed under the name Succineidae gen. n. sp. z RM-2021. RNAcentral's name for it is "tRNA-Gly". Lineage: Eukaryota; Metazoa; Mollusca; Gastropoda; Stylommatophora; Succineidae. The record is from RNAcentral.